UCAUAGUUGCAUUAAAAGAUGUGUUAUAAAACCACAAACAUACUCAUCCAAUCCUUUUCUUAUGUCUGGAACACACAGUCAGAGUCAAAACUUUGUCUGUUUCUGGUAUCCAUGGUGAAAAUUCAAACUAAUGUCUUCAUGGACGACUAAUUAGUAGGGCUUACACAAACUUGCACAUUGAUGCUCGUAGGUAAGUGUGUGUGUG
Molecule: unclassified non-coding RNA, 205 nt
Filed under: Hevea brasiliensis (rubber tree)
Lineage: Eukaryota; Viridiplantae; Streptophyta; Magnoliopsida; Malpighiales; Euphorbiaceae
Source: RNAcentral